This 509-nucleotide ribosomal RNA is filed under the name uncultured bacterium. Its description in RNAcentral is "bacterial SSU rRNA". It matches the Rfam family "Bacterial small subunit ribosomal RNA", at positions 19 to 518 of the family's 1533-position model. The record is from RNAcentral.
AUGGCUCAGGAUGAACGCUAGCGACAGGCUUAACACAUGCAAGUCGAGAGGCAUCACGGGAGUAGCAAUACAACUGGUGGCGACCGGCGCACGGGUGAGUAACGCGUAUGCAACCUACCUAUCAGAGGGGAAUAACCCGGCGAAAGUCGGACUAAUACCGCAUAAAACAGGGGCACCGCAUGGUGAUAUUUGUUAAAGAAAUUCGCUGAUAGAUGGGCAUGCGUUCCAUUAGGUAGUUGGUGAGGUAACGGCUCACCAAGCCGACGAUGGAUAGGGGAACUGAGAGGUUGGUCCCCCACACUGGUACUGAGACACGGACCAGACUCCUACGGGAGGCAGCAGUGAGGAAUAUUGGUCAAUGGGCGGGAGCCUGAACCAGCCAAGUCGCGUUGAAGGAAGAAGGAUCUAUGGUUCGUAAACUUCUUUUGCAGGGGAAUAAAGUGCAGGACGUGUCCUGUUUUGUAUGUACCCUGAGAAUAAGGAUCGGCUAACUCCGUGCCAGCCGCCGC